CUGUAUUUGCUGGUCAGUAUGA
RNAcentral lists this non-coding RNA (22 nucleotides) under Arabidopsis thaliana (thale cress). The record is from RNAcentral. Lineage: Eukaryota; Viridiplantae; Streptophyta; Magnoliopsida; Brassicales; Brassicaceae.